This 517-nucleotide ribosomal RNA is filed under the name uncultured bacterium. Its description in RNAcentral is "bacterial SSU rRNA". It matches the Rfam family "Bacterial small subunit ribosomal RNA", at positions 993 to 1509 of the family's 1533-position model. The record is from RNAcentral.
GAAUUUAGCAGAGAUGCUUUAGUGCCUUCGGGAACUCUGAGACAGGUGCUGCAUGGCUGUCGUCAGCUCGUGUUGUGAAAUGUUGGGUUAAGUCCCGCAACGAGCGCAACCCUUAUCCUUUGUUGCCAGCACGUAAUGGUGGGAACUCAAAGGAGACUGCCGGUGAUAAACCGGAGGAAGGUGGGGAUGACGUCAAGUCAUCAUGGCCCUUACGAGUAGGGCUACACACGUGCUACAAUGGCGCAUACAAAGAGAAGCGACCUCGCGAGAGCAAGCGGACCUCAUAAAGUGCGUCGUAGUCCGGAUUGGAGUCUGCAACUCGACUCCAUGAAGUCGGAAUCGCUAGUAAUCGUAAAUCAGAAUGUUACGGUGAAUACGUUCCCGGGCCUUGUACACACCGCCCGUCACACCAUGGGAGUGGGUUGCAAAAGAAGUAGAUAGCUUAACCUUCGGGAGGGCGUUUACCACUUUGUGAUUCAUGACUGGGGUGAAGUCGUAACAAGGUAGGCGUAGCGAG